GCCUGGGUGGCUCAGUCGGUUGAGCGUCCGACUUCAGCUCAGGUCACGAUCUCGUGUCCGUGGGUUCGAGCCCCGCGUCGGGCU
Molecule: transfer RNA, 84 nt
Organism: Felis catus (domestic cat)
Lineage: Eukaryota; Metazoa; Chordata; Mammalia; Carnivora; Felidae
Rfam family: tRNA
About the family: Transfer RNA (tRNA) molecules are approximately 80 nucleotides in length. Their secondary structure includes four short double-helical elements and three loops (D, anti-codon, and T loops). Further hydrogen bonds mediate the characteristic L-shaped molecular structure. tRNAs have two regions of fundamental functional importance: the anti-codon, which is responsible for specific mRNA codon recognition, and the 3' end, to which the tRNAs corresponding amino acid is attached (by aminoacyl-tRNA synthetases). tRNAs cope with the degeneracy of the genetic code in two manners: having more than one tRNA (with a specific anti-codon) for a particular amino acid; and 'wobble' base-pairing, i.e. permitting non-standard base-pairing at the 3rd anti-codon position.
Source: Rfam